AUCCUGCUGAUGGGUCAUAAAUAGGACGAAACGUGCGUCAACCUGGAU
This 48-nucleotide non-coding RNA is filed under the name Schistosoma curassoni. Lineage: Eukaryota; Metazoa; Platyhelminthes; Trematoda; Strigeidida; Schistosomatidae. The record is from RNAcentral.